Molecule: ribosomal RNA, 798 nt
Filed under: Salmonella enterica
Lineage: Bacteria; Pseudomonadati; Pseudomonadota; Gammaproteobacteria; Enterobacterales; Enterobacteriaceae
Description: partial 23S ribosomal RNA
Rfam family: Bacterial large subunit ribosomal RNA
Source: RNAcentral
GAUGUGUAGGAUAGGUGGGAGGCUUUGAAGCGUGGACGCCAGUCUGCGUGGAGCCGACCUUGAAAUACCACCCUUUAAUGUUUGAUGUUCUAACGUGGACCCGUAAUCCGGGUUGCGGACAGUGUCUGGUGGGUAGUUUGACUGGGGCGGUCUCCUCCUAAAGAGUAACGGAGGAGCACGAAGGUUGGCUAAUCCUGGUCGGACAUCAGGAGGUUAGUGCAAUGGCAUAAGCCAGCUUGACUGCGAGCGUGACGGCGCGAGCAGGUGCGAAAGCAGGUCAUAGUGAUCCGGUGGUUCUGAAUGGAAGGGCCAUCGCUCAACGGAUAAAAGGUACUCCGGGGAUAACAGGCUGAUACCGCCCAAGAGUUCAUAUCGACGGCGGUGUUUGGCACCUCGAUGUCGGCUCAUCACAUCCUGGGGCUGAAGUAGGUCCCAAGGGUAUGGCUGUUCGCCAUUUAAAGUGGUACGCGAGCUGGGUUUAGAACGUCGUGAGACAGUUCGGUCCCUAUCUGCCGUGGGCGCUGGAGAACUGAGGGGGGCUGCUCCUAGUACGAGAGGACCGGAGUGGACGCAUCACUGGUGUUCGGGUUGUCAUGCCAAUGGCACUGCCCGGUAGCUAAAUGCGGAAGAGAUAAGUGCUGAAAGCAUCUAAGCACGAAACUUGCCCCGAGAUGAGUUCUCCCUGAGACUUAGAGUCUCCUGAAGGAACGUUGAAGACGACGACGUUGAUAGGCCGGGUGUGUAAGCGCAGCGAUGCGUUGAGCUAACCGGUACUAAUGAACCGUGAGGCUUAACCUU